UAUAGCUUCAGACUUCAGUGUUGAUCAAACACAGAAAAUAGAGAGGACGAAAUGAGAGAAGCAUGGCACGAAAAAAGCACAAGGAAAAUGUAAAGUCUUUUUCUUUGCGCCAUGGCAUAUUUUGAGUCCAGCUCAAUAUUUUUAGUAUAUUACAAUUUGGUAUCAAAGCCCACUGCAUGAGUCCUUGAACUUUGGGACAACCUCCCAUGAAUGGAAAUCUGCAAAGCAUUGUUCCAACACAGAUGGCUGUAUUACCAGCACCAGACCAGGUAGAAUAUUACCUGUGGGGGUUAAUAGGCAUGGAAAUCCCAGAACAAUGGAGUUGGAUAGAUUGAGGGAAUAAGGACUAUGCUUUACCUGCAGGGAGAGAUGGCAGCCAGGGCAUAGGUGCAGGGAAAGAAAUACGAACUGUAUCAUAGGGCCUGCAGAUAAUGAUGCAGAUGAGACAGAAGAAAGAGUUGGAUUACUGGGAUGGCAAUGGGUUGGGGAGGGCUACAUCCACCACCCGACCCACCUUAUACUUUCCCCACCCACCCAGCAUUACCCAACUAUCAAGGUAAAAGGGUCACGUUUGAGGGACUAAGCCCCAACAGGCAAUGUAAAGAGGUUGAAUUCCAGGAGAUUCUAAAGGAAAUUCAGCAAGACUGCAAGAGGGAAUUGGGUUAAUAGUACAGUGCUGCAAUAUCCAAGGUAAUGAUGGUAUUGAAACCAUCACUGAGACUGAACCAAAAAUCCUGGAGGUAAUUAAGCAAAAGAUUUUGCAGGCUACAUAUGACUCUGAGUUGGGGAUCACUCAGGUACCUUGGGAUUUAGGGACUUAUCAAAUGGCCAAAGUUAUCUUUCUACUGGCUACAUGCGAAGCAGAAAAUGUCUAAAUAUGUCUAGGGGUGUGAUAUUUGUCAGAGGAACAAGUCUGAGAACAGCUCUGGCCUCUUACAGCCUCUUCACUCUUAGCAUUCUAGAACAGGCCUGGACUCACAUUGCCAUGGAUAUUUUUGAAGGGCUGCCUAAUUAUGAAUUUAGGGAUGUUAUCUUGGGGGCAGUUGACAGGUUCAACAUAUAUGCACACUUCAUACUGCUAGACCAUCCUAUCACUGCCAAGGAAGUAGCUGCAAUCAGAAGAAAAUGUUAAGUUCUAAGUACUAUGGCCACUAUGAAGAGUUGGAUGGAAUUGGACCAGUAGCACACAAGCUUAAAUUGCCAGUGUGAUGCUUAAUCCAUACAGUAUUCCAUGUCUCCCAACUCAUGAGGAACCUGUAGCCAUUCUGCAAAGCAGAAAAAAACAGUGCUGCUAGUGCAUAUGGGUUCAAUGGAUCAAUUUGAGUCUGGACUCUGGAGGCAACGUGGGAAGUGUUUAGACCCACUUGACAGCACAAAUCUUGAUUACGAGACAAGGUUUAUCAAAAGGGGAGAGGAAUGCUAUGCUACUAAGGGAUAAAAGAGUCUUCUUAAUGGUAUCCGAAACAUUGUCAUAGGAUUGAAGUGGGUGUUUCAGACCGUUGCUGCUUCAGUUGCCACACAGCUGUAUUGCAAGGAUGAGAGUUGGCUAUGGCGUUUUACUAUUUUGUUGUUAUUAAGCUGUAUUUUGUUUGUUGCAUUGUAGGAAUUUGGGUUUGGGUUACUGGUUACGAGAGUUUGAAUGAAGAUUUUCCGAUUUUCCCUGUC
Molecule: long non-coding RNA, 1665 nt
Organism: Ipomoea triloba (trilobed morning glory)
Lineage: Eukaryota; Viridiplantae; Streptophyta; Magnoliopsida; Solanales; Convolvulaceae
Exons: 2
Source: RefSeq, a predicted model, not a curated record